This 1376-nucleotide ribosomal RNA is filed under the name uncultured bacterium. RNAcentral describes it as "bacterial SSU rRNA". It matches the Rfam family "Bacterial small subunit ribosomal RNA". The record is from RNAcentral.
GAGUUUGAUCCUGGCUCAGGACCAACGCUGGUGGCGUGCUUAACACAUGCAAGUCGAACGGUAAGGCCCCAGCUUGCUGGGGUACACGAGUGGCGAACGGGUGAGUAACACGUGGGUGACCUGCCCCGCACUUCGGGAUAAGCCUGGGAAACUGGGUCUAAUACCGGAUAGGACCGCACCGUGAGGGUGUGGUGGAAAGUUUUUCGGUGUGGGAUGGGCCCGCGGCCUAUCAGCUUGUUGGUGGGGUAAUGGCCUACCAAGGCGGCGACGGGUAGCCGGCCUGAGAGGGUGGACGGCCACAUUGGGACUGAGACACGGCCCAGACUCCUACGGGAGGCAGCAGUGGGGAAUAUUGCACAAUGGGCGGAAGCCUGAUGCAGCGACGCCGCGUGGGGGAUGACGGCCUUCGGGUUGUAAACUCCUUUCACCAUCGACGAAGGUUUUCUGACGGUAGAUGGAGAAGAAGCACCGGCUAACUACGUGCCAGCAGCCGCGGUAAUACGUAGGGUGCGAGCGUUGUCCGGAAUUACUGGGCGUAAAGAGCUCGUAGGUGGUUUGUCGCGUCGUCUGUGAAAUUCCGGGGCUUAGCUCCGGGCGUGCAGGCGAUACGGGCAUAACUUGAGUACUGUAGGGGAGACUGGAAUUCCUGCUGUAGCGGUGACAUGCGCCGAUAUCAGGAGGAACACCGGGUGGCGAAGGCGGGUCUCUGGGCAGUAACUGACGCUGAGGAGCGAAAGCAUGGGUAGCGAACAGGAUUAGAUACCCUGGUAGUCCAUGCCGUAAACGGUGGGCGCUAGGUGUAGGGGUCUUCCACGACUUCUGUGCCGUAGCUAACGCAUUAAGCGCCCCGCCUGGGGAGUACGGCCGCAAGGCUAAAACUCAAAGGAAUUGACGGGGGCCCGCACAAGCGGCGGAGCAUGUGGAUUAAUUCGAUGCAACGCGAAGAACCUUACCUGGGCUUGACAUAUACGGGACCGGGCCAGAGAUGGUCCUUCCCUUGUGGCUCGUAUACAGGUGGUGCAUGGUUGUCGUCAGCUCGUGUCGUGAGAUGUUGGGUUAAGUCCCGCAACGAGCGCAACCCUUGUCUUAUGUUGCCAGCACGUAAUGGUGGGGACUCGUGAGAAACUGCCGGGGUCAACUCGGAGGAAGGUGGGGAUGACGUCAAAUCAUCAUGCCCCUUAUGUCCAGGGCUUCACACAUGCUACAAUGGUCGGUACAGUGGGUUGCGAUGCCGUGAGGUGGAGCUAAUCCCUGAAAGCCGGUCUCAGUUCGGAUCGGGGUCUGCAACUCGACCCCGUGAAGUCGGAGUCGCUAGUAAUCGCAGAUCAGCAACGCUGCGGUGAAUACGUUCCCGGGCCUUGUACACACCGCCCGUC